Molecule: small nuclear RNA, 107 nt
Organism: Leptonychotes weddellii (Weddell seal)
Lineage: Eukaryota; Metazoa; Chordata; Mammalia; Carnivora; Phocidae
Source: RefSeq, a predicted model, not a curated record
GUGCUCGCUUCAGCAGCACACAUACUAAAAUUGGAAUGACACAGAGAAGACUAGCAUAGUCCUUGUGUAAGGAUGACAUGCAAAUUUGGGAAGCAUCCCAUAUUUUG